This is a long non-coding RNA of Cimex lectularius (bed bug), 601 nucleotides long. RefSeq lists it as uncharacterized. The transcript has 3 exons. The record is from RefSeq and is a predicted model, not a curated record. NCBI's taxonomy places the organism in Eukaryota, Metazoa, Arthropoda, Insecta, Hemiptera, Cimicidae.
UGAAGAUCAAUACUUUUUCUUUUGUUUGAUUUUUACAUAUGUAACACAAUACUUAAGAACAAAACUUUUGAGAUGAAAAACAUGUGAGGAGAAUUCGCCCAUUGGUGACCCUCCUAUAGAAGAAAUAAAUAAUGACUUCACGUUUUCAAUUUUCUUCGUCUCUAUGCAGGGCAUCACGUGGCCAUCGGAGUUUCCGUCGAUCGGAGGAUUGAUGGUUUUGCUACUUCUGGAACAAAGGGAAUAUUAACGUUUCAUUGGAAUCUUUUGCCGAGUUGGGAGUUGGAAUGCUUGGGCCGAGACUAUAGUUAUUGAACACUAUGAAAAAGGGAAAUCAAAAUGUUUUACGUUGGGUAUAAAAAACAAAAGAACAGUUAUCUACUCGACAGCCAAUCGGCAAUAAAGUCAACAACCCCAUUGGUAGUAAAGUCCAGAGCCGUUUGGGAAAAUAACAAAAUUACCCUUGCUUGGGUACCAAGUAAUACAUGAUAGAAGAGCAACGAAGGUACCGAUAAAGUGGCCAAGGAAAGUUUGGUGAGAACACCUAUCGACCCUGCACCUGCACCAUACCAAAUGAUCAAAAACGUAGAUCCAUCAGACAAUU